UUGAAGGAGACAAGGUGAAGGAAACGAUGAUCCCAGCCCGUGUCCUAAAUGCUUGUGAUGGAUGAAGACAAGUUAUAAAACUCAAUAAAACAAGGGCCUGUUGUGCUGGGCUUUGCUCCUCCUACUUUCCAGAGCACCUGAAGGAAAAAUCGUGGGAGUGUGACAAGAAGCAGCAGGGACACAGAAAGUGACAGGCUGCACAAACUCUGUUCACAUACGAAGCACAGUAGCAGAAGGCUAAGAUAAGAAGAACACGUCUGAUGGGGAACCUUUUGGUCCAAACACGUGGGCUGGAUGGAGUUGAUGCACCACAUGGCAUUGGGCCCCAGAUUGCUCCUGAGGAUGCUGGGUCCUACUGUUGUACAAGUAAAUAGGUUGGAAGAAAAGCUUGAGGCAAAGAAGGGGAACACGCACACUGAAAAUGAACCUGCAAACAGAGAAGAAGCAGAUGAACUGGUGCUAUAACUUGCCACAGUUCUGUUAAUUUGAGUAUAACUGAAUUUAUGCUGAAUAUGCUCCUCUCAGCCUAAGAGAGAAAGAAAUGACCCCAACAGUGAAGGCAGAGUUUGGGCAAAGAGGGUCCUGUGAAUCAUAAAGGGGGUCCUAGCAAUGCAAAAAGGAGGAUAUGGCCCAGAGAACAGUGAAGACAUCUGCCAGAGACAGGAAACAGACUGACAUGCUGGGAACACGGAGGGCAUGGGCUCAAGGAGAGGUACAUGUUGAAAAUGCAAAGGUAUUGGAAGAGAGAGGAAAACAUCAGAUCACAAGGCAUGAAGCUGGUGCUGAGAACCAAGAGGUGACUCAGAGGACAGAGCACACUUCUCUGUUCGACAGAU
Dromaius novaehollandiae (emu) is the source of this 836-nucleotide long non-coding RNA. RefSeq lists it as uncharacterized. NCBI's taxonomy places the organism in Eukaryota, Metazoa, Chordata, Aves, Casuariiformes, Dromaiidae. The record is from RefSeq and is a predicted model, not a curated record. The transcript is spliced from 3 exons.